RNAcentral lists this ribosomal RNA (1372 nucleotides) under uncultured bacterium. RNAcentral describes it as "bacterial SSU rRNA". It matches the Rfam family "Bacterial small subunit ribosomal RNA", at positions 28 to 1381 of the family's 1533-position model. The record is from RNAcentral.
GAUGAACGCUGGCGGCGUGCCUAAUACAUGCAAGUCGAGCGAACGGACGAGAAGCUUGCUUCUCUGAUGUUAGCGGCGGACGGGUGAGUAACACGUGGAUAACCUACCUAUAAGACUGGGAUAACUUCGGGAAACCGGAGCUAAUACCGGAUAAUAUUUUGAACCGCAUGGUUCAAAAGUGAAAGACGGUCUUGCUGUCACUUAUAGAUGGAUCCGCGCUGCAUUAGCUAGUUGGUAAGGUAACGGCUUACCAAGGCAACGAUGCAUAGCCGACCUGAGAGGGUGAUCGGCCACACUGGAACUGAGACACGGUCCAGACUCCUACGGGAGGCAGCAGUAGGGAAUCUUCCGCAAUGGGCGAAAGCCUGACGGAGCAACGCCGCGUGAGUGAUGAAGGUCUUCGGAUCGUAAAACUCUGUUAUUAGGGAAGAACAUAUGUGUAAGUAACUGUGCACAUCUUGACGGUACCUAAUCAGAAAGCCACGGCUAACUACGUGCCAGCAGCCGCGGUAAUACGUAGGUGGCAAGCGUUAUCCGGAAUUAUUGGGCGUAAAGCGCGCGUAGGCGGUUUUUUAAGUCUGAUGUGAAAGCCCACGGCUCAACCGUGGAGGGUCAUUGGAAACUGGAAAACUUGAGUGCAGAAGAGGAAAGUGGAAUUCCAUGUGUAGCGGUGAAAUGCGCAGAGAUAUGGAGGAACACCAGUGGCGAAGGCGACUUUCUGGUCUGUAACUGACGCUGAUGUGCGAAAGCGUGGGGAUCAAACAGGAUUAGACACCCUGGUAGUCCACGCCGUAAACGAUGAGUGCUAAGUGUUAGGGGGUUUCCGCCCCUUAGUGCUGCAGCUAACGCAUUAAGCACUCCGCCUGGGGAGUACGACCGCAAGGUUGAAACUCAAAGGAAUUGACGGGGACCCGCACAAGCGGUGGAGCAUGUGGUUUAAUUCGAAGCAACGCGAAGAACCUUACCAAAUCUUGACAUCCUUUGACAACUCUAGAGAUAGAGCCUUCCCCUUCGGGGGACAAAGUGACAGGUGGUGCAUGGUUGUCGUCAGCUCGUGUCGUGAGAUGUUGGGUUAAGUCCCGCAACGAGCGCAACCCUUAAGCUUAGUUGCCAUCAUUAAGUUGGGCACUCUAAGUUGACUGCCGGUGACAAACCGGAGGGAGGUGGGGAUGACGUCAAAUCAUCAUGCCCCUUAUGAUUUGGGCUACACACGUGCUACAAUGGACAAUACAAAGGGCAGCGAAACCGCGAGGUCAAGCAAAUCCCAUAAAGUUGUUCUCAGUUCGGAUUGUAGUCUGCAACUCGACUACAUGAAGCUGGAAUCGCUAGUAAUCGUAGAUCAGCAUGCUACGGUGAAUACGUUCCCGGGUCU